ACUAAAUCAAAAUUAAUAAAUAAGUCCAUAAGUUUAUAUAUAUAUAUAUAUAUAACCGAUCGUCCCUAACGCAAGUGGCAAAGACUUGGUUGUUGAUAUCCGAAAUCUCAAGUUUGAAAUUUAGUUGAUUCACAUUUUCAGCUAAAUUUAUUUUUAAAAAUAUAAGCGAAGCGAAUCGCAUACUACUUUUCUCUCAAAAAAAAAAUUUACAUAUAAGUACUAAGUCAUUGUUGCUAUUAGCUUUUCAGCCUUUGGAUGAAGGGAUGUAUAGUUAGCAGGAUAGUGAUCUUCUAGGGUUGAGAGGGUAGUUGGUUAAAUAGUAUGAUAGGAUAGUGAUCUUCUAGGGUUGAGAGGGUGGUUGGUUAAAUAGUAUGAUCUAACGGAUGAAAAUAGUUGAAAGCGUAAAUCUAACAUAAGUAUUAAAUCAUUGUUGCUAUUAGCUUUUCGACUCUUGGGUGGAGAAAUGUACAGUUAGGAAAAUAGUGAUCUCCUAGCUAGGGGUUGAGAGGGUGGUUGGUUGAAUGGUAUGAUCUAACGGAUAGAAAUAGUUAAAGGCAUAAAAUUUAACUAUAAAAACUUGGUAGCACUAAGUUCUUGAUGUUAUUAGAAACGCUCCAGCUCUAUAUAUAUAUA
RNAcentral lists this long non-coding RNA (633 nucleotides) under Ananas comosus (pineapple). Its description in RNAcentral is "long non-coding RNA (ACOM_LNC032142)". Lineage: Eukaryota; Viridiplantae; Streptophyta; Magnoliopsida; Poales; Bromeliaceae. The record is from RNAcentral.